Non-coding RNA from Myotis brandtii (Brandt's bat), 72 nucleotides. The record is from Rfam. Lineage: Eukaryota; Metazoa; Chordata; Mammalia; Chiroptera; Vespertilionidae.
GCCCUAGUGGCUCAGUGGAUAGAGCAUCGGCCUGCGGACCAAAGGUCCCGGGUUUGAUUCCAGUCAAGGGCA